GAUGAAGAAGUAGCGAAAUGCGAUACGUAAUGUGAAUUGCAAAUUCAGUGAAUCAUCGAGUCUUUGAACGCACAUUGCGCCCCCUGGUAUUCCGGGGGGCAUGCCUGUCCGAGCGUCAUUGCUGCCCUCAAGCACGGCUUGUGUGUUGGGCCCCGUCCUCCGAUUCCGGGGGACGGGCCCGAAAGGCAGCGGCGGCACCGCGUCCGGUCCUCGAGCGUAUGGGGCUUUGUCACCCGCUCUGUAGGCCCGGCCGGCGCUUGCCGAUCAACCCAAAUUUUUAUCCAGGUUGACCUCGGAUCAGGUAGGGAUACCCGCUGAACUUAAGCAUAUCAAUAAGCGGAGGA
This 344-nucleotide unclassified non-coding RNA is filed under the name soil metagenome. Its description in RNAcentral is "partial contains 5.8S ribosomal RNA, internal transcribed spacer 2, and large subunit ribosomal RNA". The stretch from base 1 to 118 matches the Rfam family "5.8S ribosomal RNA", at positions 35 to 154 of the family's 154-position model. The record is from RNAcentral.